Molecule: ribosomal RNA, 253 nt
Filed under: uncultured Aquicella sp.
Lineage: Bacteria; Pseudomonadati; Pseudomonadota; Gammaproteobacteria; Legionellales; Coxiellaceae
Description: partial 16S ribosomal RNA
Rfam family: Bacterial small subunit ribosomal RNA
Source: RNAcentral
UACAGAGGGUGCGAGCGUUAAUCGGAGUUACUGGGCGUAAAGGGCGCGUAGGCGGAUGACUAAGUGAGAUGUGAAAGCCCCGGGCUUAACCUGGGAAGUGCAUUUCGGACUGGUGAUCUGGAGUAGGGUAGAGGGUGGCGGAAUUUCCGGUGUAGCGGUGAAAUGCGUAGAGAUCGGAAGGAACGUCGAUGGCGAAGGCAGCCACCUGGACUCAUACUGACGCUGAGGCGCGAAAGCAUGGGUAGCGAACAGG